GACGAACGCUGGCGGCGUGCCUAAUACAUGCAAGUUGAGCGCUGAAGGUUGGUACUUGUACCAACUGGAUGAGCAGCGAACGGGUGAGUAACGCGUCGGGAAUCUGCCUUUGAGCGGGGGACAACAUUUGGAAACGAAUGCUAAUACCGCAUAAAAACUUUAAACACAAGUUUUAAGUUUGAAAGAUGCAAUUGCAUCACUCAAAGAUGAUCCCGCGUUGUAUUAGCUAGUUGGUGAGGUAAAGGCUCACCAAGGCGAUGAUACAUAGCCGACCUGAGAGGGUGAUCGGCCACAUUGGGACUGAGACACGGCCCAAACUCCUACGGGAGGCAGCAGUAGGGAAUCUUCGGCAAUGGACGAAAGUCUGACCGAGCAACGCCCCGGGAGUGAAGAAGGGUUUCGGAUCGUAAAACUCUGUUGGUAGAGAAGAACGUUGGUGAGAGUGGAAAGCUCAUCAAGUGACGGUAACUACACAGAAAGGGACGGCUAACUACGUG
RNAcentral lists this ribosomal RNA (497 nucleotides) under uncultured bacterium. RNAcentral describes it as "partial 16S ribosomal RNA". It matches the Rfam family "Bacterial small subunit ribosomal RNA", at positions 28 to 507 of the family's 1533-position model. The record is from RNAcentral.